CCCUUAGAUGUCCGGGGCUGCACGCGCGCUACACUGAAGGAAUCAGCGUGCUAGAAAACCUUGUUUGACAUGGCUAGGUAACCCGUUGAAAAUCUUUCGUGAUUGGGAUCGGGACUUGCAAAUGUGUCCCUUGAACGAGGAAUUCCCAGUAAGUGCGGGUCGUAAGCUCGCGCUGAUUACGUCCCUGCCCUUUGUACACACCGCCCGUCGCUGCCCGGAACUGAGCCGUUUCGAGAAGACUGGGGACUGCGAACUUUGGGCUGGAAAACAGCUUUUUGUUUGUGGAAACCACUUUAAUCGCAGCGGCUUGAACCGGGCAAAAGUCGUAACA
Molecule: ribosomal RNA, 331 nt
Filed under: uncultured eukaryote
Lineage: Eukaryota
Description: partial 18S ribosomal RNA
Rfam family: Eukaryotic small subunit ribosomal RNA
Source: RNAcentral